This 70-nucleotide transfer RNA is filed under the name Scorpaena agassizii (longfin scorpionfish). RNAcentral describes it as "tRNA-Trp". It matches the Rfam family "tRNA". From Rfam's summary of the family: Transfer RNA (tRNA) molecules are approximately 80 nucleotides in length. Their secondary structure includes four short double-helical elements and three loops (D, anti-codon, and T loops). The record is from RNAcentral. Lineage: Eukaryota; Metazoa; Chordata; Actinopteri; Perciformes; Scorpaenidae.
AGGAAUUUAGGUUAAUAAAGACCAUGAGCCUUCAAAGCCCAUAGCGGGGGUGGAAUUCCUUCAAUUCCUG